RNAcentral lists this ribosomal RNA (274 nucleotides) under uncultured bacterium. RNAcentral's name for it is "partial 16S ribosomal RNA". It matches the Rfam family "Bacterial small subunit ribosomal RNA", at positions 523 to 796 of the family's 1533-position model. The record is from RNAcentral.
AGACGGAGGGUGCUAGCGUUGUUCGGAAUCAUUGGGCGUAAAGGGCGUGUAGGCGGCUCGUUAAGUCAUGCGUGAAAGCCCUCGGCUUAACCGAGGAAGUGCGUAUGAUACUGGCGAGCUAGAGUUCGGAAGAGGGGGGUGGAAUUCCAGGUGUAGCGGUGAAAUGCGUAGAUAUCUGGAGGAACACCGGUGGCGAAGGCGACCCCCUGGUCCGACACUGACGCUGAGACGCGAAAGCGUGGGUAGCAAACAGGAUUAGAAACCCCAGUAGUCC